CCCUUAGAUGUUCUGGGCCGCACGCGUGCUACACUGAGUGGAUCAGCGGGUCAGGUUGCGCGAAAGCGUUUCCUAAUCUUUAAAUCCGCUCGUGAUGGGGAUUGACGGUUGCAAUUUUCUGUCAUGAACGAGGAAUACCUUGUAAGCGCGGGUCAUCAUCCCGCGCUGAAUACGUCCCUGCCCUUUGUACACACCGCCCGUCGCUCCUACCGAUUGAGUGGUCCGGUGAGGCUUUGGGAUCUGAGCGGAAAGAGCGUUUCGCUGUUUCUGCUCGGAAAACUCAGUCGAACCUUAUCAUUUAGAGGAAGGACAAGUCGUAACA
This 322-nucleotide ribosomal RNA is filed under the name uncultured eukaryote. RNAcentral's name for it is "partial 18S ribosomal RNA". It matches the Rfam family "Eukaryotic small subunit ribosomal RNA", at positions 1470 to 1796 of the family's 1831-position model. The record is from RNAcentral.